Molecule: ribosomal RNA, 873 nt
Filed under: Neofusicoccum sp.
Lineage: Eukaryota; Fungi; Ascomycota; Dothideomycetes; Botryosphaeriales; Botryosphaeriaceae
Description: partial large subunit ribosomal RNA
Rfam family: Eukaryotic large subunit ribosomal RNA
Source: RNAcentral
GCGGAGGAAAAGAAACCAACAGGGAUUGCCUUAGUAACGGCGAGUGAAGCGGCAAUAGCUCAAAUUUGAAAGCUGGCCCCUUCGGGGUCCGCGUUGUAAUUUGUAGAGGAUGAUUCGGCGAGGGCUCCCGUCUAAGUCCCUUGGAACAGGGCGUCAUAGAGGGUGAGAAUCCCGUAUGUGAUGGGCUGCCUUAGCCAUGUGAAUCUCCUUCGACGAGUCGAGUUGUUUGGGAAUGCAGCUCUAAAUGGGAGGUAAAUUUCUUCUAAAGCUAAAUACCGGCCAGAGACCGAUAGCGCACAAGUAGAGUGAUCGAAAGAUGAAAAGCACUUUGGAAAGAGAGUUAAAAAGUACGUGAAAUUGUUGAAAGGGAAGCGCUUGCAGCCAGACUUGUCCGCAGUUGCUCAGCUUGUCUCCUGACAGGCGUACUCUUCUGCGGCCAGGCCAGCAUCAGUUCGGGCGGUCGGAUAAAGACCUGGGGAAUGUAGCUCCUCUCGGGGAGUGUUAUAGCCCUGGGUGCAAUGCGGCCAGCCUGGACUGAGGAUCUCGCUUCGGCUAGGAUGCUGGCGUAAUGGCUGUAAGCGGCCCGUCUUGAAACACGGACCAAGGAGUCUAACAUCUAUGCGAGUGUUUGGGUGUCAAACCCAUGCGCGUAAUGAAAGUGAACGGAGGUGGGAACCCUCACGGGUGCACCAUCGACCGAUCCUGAUGUCUUCGGAUGGAUUUGAGUAAGAGCAUAGCUGUUGGGACCCGAAAGAUGGUGAACUAUGCCUGAAUAGGGUGAAGCCAGAGGAAACUCUGGUGGAGGCUCGCAGCGGUUCUGACGUGCAAAUCGAUCGUCAAAUUUGGGUAUAGGGGCGAAAGACUAAUCGAACC